UUAUUAUUUAUUUUUAUUAAUACUAUUUAGUAAUAAAUUUAAUUAUUUUUGUUUUUUAAUUUUUGAGGUUAUUUAAUUAAAGUUUAAUUUAUAUUUUGUACCUUUUGUAUCAGGGUUAAUUUAUUGAUAAAGUUAUUUUUAUUCCCGAAAAUGAAUUAUUUAGUUUAAUUUUGAUUUAUUUGUUACAAAAAAUUUUCUUAUAUUUUACUUAUAAUUAAAAGUUAUUUGUUUUCAUUUUAUAUCUGGUUAUUUUAGAUAAAAUUGAAUUUUUAAUUAAUUUAUUUUUUAUUUAUAAAGUUUUAAUUAUAUUUUAUUAGGGAUAAUCUUAAUAUUUUUGUAUAAUUAUCUUUUUUUUAUUAAAAUUAAUUUUUAAAGUUUAUAUUAAGUUUUUAAUUAAUUAUUUUAUUUUUAUUUGAUUUUUUUUAUUUUACUUUUUUAUAAGAUAAAUUUAUCUAUUUAUUUAUAUUUUUUAUAAUGAUUAAAUUAGUAUAAUUUAUAAUUUUAAAGAUUGAAUUCGACAAUUUUUUUUUUCAACUGUUUAUCAAAAACAUUUCCUUGAGUGGAUUAUUUAAGGUAAGUUCUGCCCUAUGAACAUUAAAUGGCUGCAGUAUUCUGACUGUACAAAGGUAGCAUAAUAAUUAGCCUUUUGAUUGAGGGCUUGUAUGAAUGAAUUAAUGAGAAAAUAUUUAUAAUUAAUUAUAUAGUUAAAAUUUAAUUUUUUGGUAAAAAAGCUAAAUUGUUAAUUUGGGACGAAAAGACCCUGUAGAAUUUUUAUUAAAUUAAUAAUUUAUAUUAUUAUAACUUGAUUUAUUAAUUUAUUUUUUAUUGGGGUGAUAAAUAAAUUUAAACUUUAUUUUUUAAAUUCUUUAUAAAAGGUUUAUUAAGAUUCAAAAAUUUGAUUUAAGUUAAAAUUACCUCAGGGAUAACAGCGUAAUUUAAAUGAAGAGUUCAUAUCUAUAUUUAAGGUUGCGACCUCGAUGUUGAAUUAAGAAAAAUAUAUUGGGGUAGUACCUAUAUUAAUUAAGUCUGUUCGACUUUUAAAUUCUUACAUGAUUUGAGUUCAGACCGGCGUGAGCCAGGUUGGUUUCUAUCUAUAUUUAUUAAGUAUUUAUUUUAGUACGAAAGGACCAAAUAUUUUAUUAUUAUAAUAUUAUUUUUAAUUAAUUU
RNAcentral lists this ribosomal RNA (1167 nucleotides) under Empoascanara falcata. RNAcentral's name for it is "16S ribosomal RNA". Lineage: Eukaryota; Metazoa; Arthropoda; Insecta; Hemiptera; Cicadellidae. The record is from RNAcentral.